AGCGGAGGAAAAGAAACUAACAAGGAUUCCCUUAGUAACGGCGAGCGAAACGGGAAUAGCCCAACUUGAAAAUCUCCCUUUGGAGAAUUGUAGUCUAUAGAAGCGCCCUCAUGGGCUGGCAGAGCUCAAGUCGGAUCGAAUGCCGCGUCAGAGAGGGUGAUAACCCCGUCGGCUCUGUCCUAGUCCUUCCACGAGGUGCUUUCCACGAGUCGGGUUGUUUGGGAAUGCAGCCCUAAUUUGGAGGUAAAUCCCUUCUAAGGCUAAAUACUGCCGAGAGACCGAUAGCGAACAAGUACCGUGAGGGAAAGAUGAAAAGAACUUUGAAAAGAGAGUUAAAAGUGCUUGAAAUUGUUGAGAGGGAAGCGAUUGGCGCUUGUGGGUGCGCCCAGGCUUAAGUGGUCCUAACGGCCCAUUGAAUGUGCUGGGCGCUGGUCAGAGUGGGUUGAUUUGGCGGGAUAAAAGUCGGGUCCACCAAGGUAACCCGGCCGAUGCCGCCGAAUCGACCAAGGCGUGAAGAGUGCUCUGUCCUUCGGGAUCUGCAUUCUAAAGACUCUGGCAGAAGAGCGUCAAUCGACCCGUCUUGAAACACGGACCGAGGAGUUCAACAUGUAUGCGAGUUGGCGAGUGGAAAACUCGUAAGCGCAAGUAACCUGACUGGUGGGAUGGCCUGUGCCUGCACCAUCGACCGACCAUGUUGCUUUUGCGAAAGGUUUGAGUGCGAGCAUACCUGUUGAGACCCGAAAGAUGGUGAACUAUGCCUGAGCAGGGUGAAGCCAGGGGAAACUCUGGUGGAGGCUCGUAGAUGUGCUGACGUGCAAAUCGCUUUUCAGACUUGGGUAUAGGGGCGAAAGACUAAUCGAACCUUCUAGUA
This 871-nucleotide ribosomal RNA is filed under the name Chlamydomonas sp. KGE21. Its description in RNAcentral is "eukaryotic LSU rRNA". It matches the Rfam family "Eukaryotic large subunit ribosomal RNA", at positions 49 to 949 of the family's 3401-position model. Lineage: Eukaryota; Viridiplantae; Chlorophyta; Chlorophyceae; Chlamydomonadales; Chlamydomonadaceae. The record is from RNAcentral.